CCAGACUCCUACGGGAGGCAGCAGUAGGGAAUCUUUCACAAUGGGCGAAAGCCUGAUGGAGCAACGCCGCGUGCAGGAUGAAGGCCUUCGGGUUGUAAACUGCCUUUAUAAGCGAGAAAUAUGAUGGUAACUUAUGAAUAAGGAUCGGCUAACUACGUGCCAGCAGCCGCGGUAAUACGUAGGGGGCAAGCGUUAUCCGGAUUUACUGGGUGUAAAGGGAGCGUAGACGGCUGUGCAAGUCUGAAGUGAAAGCCCAGGGCUCAACCCUGGGACUGCUUUGGAAACUGUGGAGCUAGAGUGCUGGAGAGGUAAGUGGAAUUCCUAGUGUAGCGGUGAAAUGCGUAGAUAUUAGGAGGAACACCAGUGGCGAAGGCGGCUUACUGGACAGUAACUGACGUUGAGGCUCGAAAGCGUGGGGAGCAAACAGGAUUAGAUACCCCGGUAU
Molecule: ribosomal RNA, 445 nt
Filed under: uncultured bacterium
Lineage: Bacteria
Description: bacterial SSU rRNA
Rfam family: Bacterial small subunit ribosomal RNA
Source: RNAcentral